Molecule: ribosomal RNA, 429 nt
Filed under: Bacteroidota bacterium
Lineage: Bacteria; Pseudomonadati; Bacteroidota
Description: Bacteroidetes bacterium partial 16S ribosomal RNA
Rfam family: Bacterial small subunit ribosomal RNA
Source: RNAcentral
UAGGGAAUCUUCCGCAAUGGACGCAAGUCUGACGGAGCAACGCCGCGUGAGUGAAGAAGGAUUUCGGUUCGUAAAACUCUGUUGUUAGAGAAGAACAGCGCAUAGAGUAACUGUUAUGCGUGUGACGGUAUCUAACCAGAAAGCCACGGCUAACUACGUGCCAGCAGCCGCGGUAAUACGUAGGUGGCAAGCGUUGUCCGGAUUUAUUGGGCGUAAAGCGAGCGCAGGCGGUCAAUUAAGUCUGAUGUGAAAGCCCCCGGCUCAACCGGGGAGGGUCAUUGGAAACUGGUUGACUUGAGUGCAGAAGAGGAGGGUGGAAUUCCAUGUGUAGCGGUGAAAUGCGUAGAUAUAUGGAGGAACACCGGUGGCGAAGGCAACUCUCUGGUCUGUAACUGACGCUGAGGCUCGAAAGCGUGGGUAGCAAACAGG